GACGAACGCUGGCGGCGUGCUUAACACAUGCAAGUCGAACGGAAAGGCCCUGCUUUUUUGGGGUUCUCGAGUGGCGAACGCGUGAGUAACACGUGAGUAACCUGCCCUUGACUUUGGGAUAACUUCAGGAAACUGGGGCUAAUACCAGAUAGAAUCUCCUGCUGCAUGGUGGGGGUUGGAAAGUUUCGGCGGUUGGGGAUGGACUCGCGGCUUAUCAGCUUGUUGGUUGGGUAGUUGCUUACCAAGGCUUUGACGGGUAGCCGGCCUGAGAGGGUGACCGGCCACAUUGCGACUGAGAGAGGGCCCAGACUCCUACGGGAGGCAGCAGUGGGGAAUAUGGCACAAUGGGCGGAAGCCUGAUGCAGCAACGUCGCGUGCGGGAUGACGGCCUUCGGGUUAUAAACCGCUUUCGCCUGUGACGAAGCGUGAGUGACGGUAAUGGGUAAAGAAGCACCGGCUAACUACGUG
This 468-nucleotide ribosomal RNA is filed under the name uncultured bacterium. Its description in RNAcentral is "partial 16S ribosomal RNA". It matches the Rfam family "Bacterial small subunit ribosomal RNA", at positions 28 to 507 of the family's 1533-position model. The record is from RNAcentral.